GAUUGCAGGCUGCAACCCGCCUGCAUGAAGCCGGAAUUGCUAGUAAUCGCGGAUCAGCAUGCCGCGGUGAAUACGUUCCCGGGCCUUGUACACACCGCCUGUCACACCAUGGGAGCCGGUAAUACCCGAAGUCAGUAGUCCAACCACGUGAGGACGCUGCCGAAGGUAGGAUUGGCGACUGGGGUGAAGUCGUAACAAGGUAAC
This 204-nucleotide ribosomal RNA is filed under the name uncultured bacterium. RNAcentral describes it as "partial 16S ribosomal RNA". It matches the Rfam family "Bacterial small subunit ribosomal RNA", at positions 1296 to 1500 of the family's 1533-position model. The record is from RNAcentral.